UCUAGAUUAGACCACGUCCUUUUAUUUAUUAAACUAUAGUAGUUUUUUAUAUAUGUAGAGUAGUACUGUAGUAGCAUAGUGUAGUAAUUCCAAUUUUCCAUUAUAACGAUUCAGUAUUGGUACUUGCAAAACAAGACUAUUGCAUAAACAAGAUCGCACAGUCCUAACGUAGUACACGCAAUGCCAACUGCUGGACCAUUCACUAAUGCAACUAAUAGCUUUGGAUAAUCUAUGAACGCUCUUACAAAGUUUCUGUUGAUGUAAUCACAUAUUUUAAUAGCUAAUAAGUAUUAAUAAAAAAAUAAGUAUGGUUACA
Molecule: long non-coding RNA, 316 nt
Organism: Metopolophium dirhodum (rose-grain aphid)
Lineage: Eukaryota; Metazoa; Arthropoda; Insecta; Hemiptera; Aphididae
Exons: 2
Source: RefSeq, a predicted model, not a curated record